CAUGAGUAAGAGCAAUGAUGGCCCCUUUGGCAGUCCUCAAUGCACUAGCAUGCACUAAAACCAAAACACACAAGGAGAUUCAGCACUGUUAAGAAGAGAAAUCCAAGUUGACUUGGCAUGAAGCAGGAGGCUGAUUGAGAGCUUUGAAACCUCUUUAAACUUGGACAUUUCAAGAAUCCUGGAAGAGCACUAUUGUGAAAAAAACUAGGAGACCUGCCAGGAAUGAGUGUUUGGUUUCUGCUCUGGAGGUGCUUGAGAAGGGCAAUAGAUCUUAUCUCCAAGUCUUAUUUUCUAAAGAGGUUCCAAGCCAUCGAUACGCAUGAUCUUCAGCAUCCCAGCAGCCAUUUCCUGCUGACCGCUGAGCAGGAAGAGCACAUGACCCUGGCUGGAGCCGCCAAGAGGGUGGAGAUGAUCAGAAAUCCUUUCACUGUCAAAUUCAGAGAAGAAACAUGCUGAGAAGAGGCACUUCCUAUGCCAGGCCUACCUGUGCCGUGAGGAAUACAUGUAGGAGACACUAUUUGAAAAGGUCGCCACCUUGCUGGAACAACCAAUGCAGAGAUAAUGCUGGGCCCUCUAAUCAGUUGAACAGUGGCUUCAAAAAGAUAGGUCAAAGUUAUAAUCUCCUGCAGCUGUGCAUGUGACUUUCUUUGGAAAUAGGAUCUUGCAGGUAUGAUGAAGGCCUAUCUUCCCCAGGCCUGCCAAAGGGAUCCUGCAAAAAAGCAAAUCUGAUCAUAUCCCAGCUCUCAGACCUCUCCACUCGAUGUCCAUCAGCUCCAGGAGGUGCCUUCCAAGGCCUGAAGGUUGACAGAUCCCCCAGGAUCCCCAGGGCCAGCCUACUCUGCAGCCUCACCUCCCAUGCUCCCCUUAUGCCAAUUCUCAGCAGGUUUCUCCCCUGCUUCAUCCCCUAAAUGUUACCCUCCAGUGAUAUUAUUGAUCACCUUCUGAGCAUGCGAUGCCUGCCUGUGACUUUCCACACAGUUUCCCUGAGUCAGGAAAUGUUCUUUUUGCUUGACAACCUGGCAAAGUCUGGUUAGCUUUCCAAUUCAGCUAGGACCAGAGCCUUCUCUUACCUUUACAUCUACCCACCACACCCCUGAAUUAAUUUAAUCUCUCCUCCCUCUCUACUACCUCUUUAAGUUAAACUUAAUCCUCUGCUGGUACCUGUUACACAAGUGUGAGAAUUGAGAAUUCUUACUGUUUAAAGGUCCACUUCCCUACUAGAGUGGAGUUUUGUUUUUUGUUUUUUUCUUUUUCUUUUUUUUUUUUUUUUUGAGAUG
Molecule: long non-coding RNA, 1277 nt
Filed under: Homo sapiens (human)
Lineage: Eukaryota; Metazoa; Chordata; Mammalia; Primates; Hominidae
Description: HSALNT0342527
Source: RNAcentral